Molecule: long non-coding RNA, 744 nt
Filed under: Brachypodium distachyon (stiff brome)
Lineage: Eukaryota; Viridiplantae; Streptophyta; Magnoliopsida; Poales; Poaceae
Description: long non-coding RNA (BDIS_LNC001921)
Source: RNAcentral
UGUGGAAGAAAUCCCCGCGCCUACGCCCGUCUGUACGUGUUUCGGUGUCUGGUGUCGCGAUUGAUCUACGGAAGAAGAGGACGUACGCCUCCAUCAGUUUUUAAAGAAAGCUGCGUAUAUGCUCCACGAUGAAUCGAUCGAGGAGUCCGAGUCUGUAAUGUAUUUGAAUUUGACCCAAUGAUUCCUACUAGUGUGUAUGUUCCGUUUAUCAGUUUUCUUUCUCUUAACUUUUUUUUUUGAAAGGAACGUUCCGUUUAGUUGAUGACGACGAUCGAGUACGGAGUGUCCGGAAGAUGUUGGGUCUGUUUGGUUUUAGGCCAGCUUUACCUCACCAAAAUUUGUCGGACAACGUGAACGGUGAACGGAGUCUCUUCUGGUUUCUUGCGGUGAAACCAACCAUCCAGGUUCAAGUCCUAGGCUUAACGUGAGUGUCACAUUUUUCUGAAUUAUUCCAAGAUUUAACCAGUGCUAUUUUGUCAGUGGUAGGUGACGUACCCGUCAACAACGAGACGCUCUGCGGUGACUUCAUCAAUCUCUAAGAUCUGCCGGCUCGAUCUUUCGAAGGUGCUCAUAGGGGUGAGUGUACGUGAUUGUUUUGAGCGUCUGCAUUUGCCAAUAUUUUGGAUUGCACUUUUGUUUGCCCAAGAUUUGGUCAAAGUUGGCAACAAAAAUGAAUUAUAAUUGGUCAGGGAUGGUUGGCUUGCCAAAAUUUUGACAACAUUCCAAACAAGAACCAAAUAUUUG